AAUACAAACUCCAUCGUGCCUUCCAUCUUCGCUUCCAAUCCAUUUGGUGCGCAUGCGAAGCGAACAGCAGGAAGACGAAGAACGAAGCCUCCACAAUCACAAUCACUUCAAUCAUUGACAUUUAAUCUUCGCAUUCAACUUGUCUCUGUGAGAGUGAUUAUGAUGAUCGUGAUGAAUGAAUCCCGUGAAUGACGGUGGAUUUAAUUUCGAAGGUGCUUGGACUGAAGUGUAACAUUGCCGUUAAUUAAUCAAUGAGCUUGUUAGGUGUUAAAUUUCUGUCGUGAAAUGCGUGGCUACUGUUGGUCUGUUGUCAUGUUGUAGAUGUUUGCGCAAUGCAUGUUGCUGUUUGUGAACUGAAGGCAGUUGGAAUUUGAUCAAGUGACAGGUUAGUUGAUGAUUCAUUUAAAUGCAUUGUUGUUGGCAUGUUCUAUCAAUGUUGGUUGGGGCGUGGAGUGAAGCUGGCUAGGACUCGAGUCUAUGUUGCGAGUUUGUUGAAGUUAACUGGAGCGCUGCCAACCUGUUAGUUAUGUGAUGGAAAUUGGUAUAAUGUGGUUAGAAAGUGGAGUUGUCAUUGCCAUGCUUGUGUGACUUGCAGCGUUUACAGUGGUGUUCGCUACAUGAUGUUGCUCCUGGUAAUUGUCUGAAUGAAGCUCACCUCGCACAGGAUUUGUAACCUGCGCAAACCGCUGCUUAAAGUAAUCAAAAAGCAUGUGAGGUUUCUGAGAUAACGCUGCCAAUGGAAAAUGUAGGUUCCUUUUUUUGAGAAGCCAUACUCUUAAUCACCAUAUGGACAUUUUCACUUGAUUACCCAAAUGCCUGUUGGUUUCUUAAUACUGUAUCAUUCUCCAUCACAGAGGAUGAAAUGAAAUUCCCAGACUUCAAAGACCGCAGAUUUUCCUUGAUCCAAUCCCCAUAUGGGUUUGAUAAGGCUACUCGUUUUUUAACCUCCAUAUUCUCAUAGACCUGGCCACCGAGUAAAUCAACUGUCAUUAUCAUGCCUGGACCUAAUCGACCUUUCAAGAUAACCUUUGAUUCAUCCAUUGGUACAACACCAACCUCACAAGCAACAUAGACCAUAUUGUCUGAUGUUCACCAAUACCUAGCAGGUCAAAGUCCAUUCCGAUCAAGGCAUGCACCAGCAAUUUUUUUAAUCACUGAACAAAAGCAAUGCGGGCCCAUCCCAAGCUUCCAUCUGGCCUUGUAGUAGUCACAUAAGUCAAUUGCCUUAGGGUAUUUGAUUGUUAAUGUUGUAAUUUGAAAUGGUGUAAUUUGGAAUUUAUUUGUGAAUGAAUUUUGAAAAUGAAUGUAUGGUUCAUGGUGGUAAGUUAGAGAUGUAA
Lathyrus oleraceus (garden pea) is the source of this 1337-nucleotide long non-coding RNA. RefSeq lists it as uncharacterized. The record is from RefSeq and is a predicted model, not a curated record. Lineage: Eukaryota; Viridiplantae; Streptophyta; Magnoliopsida; Fabales; Fabaceae. The transcript has 3 exons.